This 1796-nucleotide ribosomal RNA is filed under the name Escherichia coli. RNAcentral describes it as "partial 23S ribosomal RNA". It matches the Rfam family "Bacterial large subunit ribosomal RNA", at positions 1 to 1814 of the family's 2925-position model. Lineage: Bacteria; Pseudomonadati; Pseudomonadota; Gammaproteobacteria; Enterobacterales; Enterobacteriaceae. The record is from RNAcentral.
GGGUUGUGAGGUUAAGCGACUAAGCGUACACGGUGGAUGCCCUGGCAGUCAGAGGCGAUGAAGGACGUGCUAAUCUGCGAUAAGCGUCGGUAAGGUGAUAUGAACCGUUAUAACCGGCGAUUUCCGAAUGGGGAAACCCAGUGUGAUUCGUCACACUAUCAUUAACUGAAUCCAUAGGUUAAUGAGGCGAACCGGGGGAACUGAAACAUCUAAGUACCCCGAGGAAAAGAAAUCAACCGAGAUUCCCCCAGUAGCGGCGAGCGAACGGGGAGGAGCCCAGAGCCUGAAUCAGUGUGUGUGUUAGUGGAAGCGUCUGGAAAGGCGCGCGAUACAGGGUGACAGCCCCGUACACAAAAAUGCACAUACUGUGAGCUCGAUGAGUAGGGCGGGACACGUGGUAUCCUGUCUGAAUAUGGGGGGACCAUCCUCCAAGGCUAAAUACUCCUGACUGACCGAUAGUGAACCAGUACCGUGAGGGAAAGGCGAAAAGAACCCCGGCGAGGGGAGUGAAAAAGAACCUGAAACCGUGUACGUACAAGCAGUGGGAGCACGCUUCGGCGUGUGACUGCGUACCUUUUGUAUAAUGGGUCAGCGACUUAUAUUCUGUAGCAAGGUUAACCGAAUAGGGGAGCCGAAGGGAAACCGAGUCUUAACUGGGCGUUAAGUUGCAGGGUAUAGACCCGAAACCCGGUGAUCUAGCCAUGGGCAGGUUGAAGGUUGGGUAACACUAACUGGAGGACCGAACCGACUAAUGUUGAAAAAUUAGCGGAUGACUUGUGGCUGGGGGUGAAAGGCCAAUCAAACCGGGAGAUAGCUGGUUCUCCCCGAAAGCUAUUUAGGUAGCGCCUCGUGAAUUCAUCUCCGGGGGUAGAGCACUGUUUCGGCAAGGGGGUCAUCCCGACUUACCAACCCGAUGCAAACUGCGAAUACCGGAGAAUGUUAUCACGGGAGACACACGGCGGGUGCUAACGUCCGUCGUGAAGAGGGAAACAACCCAGACCGCCAGCUAAGGUCCCAAAGUCAUGGUUAAGUGGGAAACGAUGUGGGAAGGCCCAGACAGCCAGGAUGUUGGCUUAGAAGCAGCCAUCAUUUAAAGAAAGCGUAAUAGCUCACUGGUCGAGUCGGCCUGCGCGGAAGAUGUAACGGGGCUAAACCAUGCACCGAAGCUGCGGCAGCGACACUAUGUGUUGUUGGGUAGGGGAGCGUUCUGUAAGCCUGUGAAGGUGUACUGUGAGGUAUGCUGGAGGUAUCAGAAGUGCGAAUGCUGACAUAAGUAACGAUAAAGCGGGUGAAAAGCCCGCUCGCCGGAAGACCAAGGGUUCCUGUCCAACGUUAAUCGGGGCAGGGUGAGUCGACCCCUAAGGCGAGGCCGAAAGGCGUAGUCGAUGGGAAACAGGUUAAUAUUCCUGUACUUGGUGUUACUGCGAAGGGGGGACGGAGAAGGCUAUGUUGGCCGGGCGACGGUUGUCCCGGUUUAAGCGUGUAGGCUGGUUUUCCAGGCAAAUCCGGAAAAUCAAGGCUGAGGCGUGAUGACGAGGCACUACGGUGCUGAAGCAACAAAUGCCCUGCUUCCAGGAAAAGCCUCUAAGCAUCAGGUAACAUCAAAUCGUACCCCAAACCGACACAGGUGGUCAGGUAGAGAAUACCAAGGCGCUUGAGAGAACUCGGGUGAAGGAACUAGGCAAAAUGGUGCCGUAACUUCGGGAGAAGGCACGCUGAUAUGUAGGUGAAGCGACUUGCUCGUGGAGCUGAAAUCAGUCGAAGAUACCAGCUGGCUGCAACUGUUUAUUAAAAAC